Molecule: ribosomal RNA, 229 nt
Filed under: uncultured bacterium
Lineage: Bacteria
Description: partial 16S ribosomal RNA
Rfam family: Bacterial small subunit ribosomal RNA
Source: RNAcentral
UCCGUAGGCGGACUAAUAAGUCAGUGGUGAAAUCUCUCGGCUCAACCGGGAAACUGCCAUUGAUACUGUUAGUCUUGAGUUCGGUUGAGGUAGGCGGAAUGUGUAAUGUAGCGGUGAAAUGCUUAGAUAUUACACAGAACACCAAUUGCGUAGGCAGCUUACUAGACCGACACUGACGCUGAGGCACGAAAGCGUGGGUAGCGAACAGGAUUAGAUACCCUGGUAGUCC